AACGCGGAAGUCAACAGUAUUUGGAAAGGCGAUUGGCAGCAAAUGCGGAUGCCAGGAUGUCUGGAUGAAUGGGUCAGUCAUCUGCACAGCAUCAAUGGAAAAAGAGAAGCAAUGAGGAACAAGAGAAGAGUAGCAGUGAGUGAAACUGAAGUCCAGCGUGAGAUACCCGGAUGACAGGUUGACAGUCUGGAAGGACCCUUCCAGAUUUCCGAAGUGAUUGGCAGACAGCGAUGAGGAGAGUCCUGUUAUUUCAAUGGGGGCCUGCCGAGAAGUUAUAUGCCAAUUGACACUGGGACACGCUCACAAAGGCUGGUCUGGCUAAUGUGAGAAGACCAUCCAAUGCCAAGUCGGAGUGGGACCCUUCAAGGACGUUGAAGAAAUUAUUGUCUUUGGCCAUGUGGUAAUCACUUGAAAGGAAUGAUGUUUGCGACUACUUGUCUAUACAUGUGGACCCAAACACCACAUAG
Molecule: long non-coding RNA, 467 nt
Filed under: Haliotis rufescens (red abalone)
Lineage: Eukaryota; Metazoa; Mollusca; Gastropoda; Lepetellida; Haliotidae
Description: uncharacterized LOC125382090
Source: RNAcentral